RNAcentral lists this long non-coding RNA (404 nucleotides) under Trifolium pratense (red clover). RNAcentral describes it as "long non-coding RNA (TPRA_LNC011302)". Lineage: Eukaryota; Viridiplantae; Streptophyta; Magnoliopsida; Fabales; Fabaceae. The record is from RNAcentral.
UAUUCCAAUAAAGAAGGAUAUCGGAUUAUAUUUAUCCGAUAAAGAAGGAUAUUAGAGGUGAGAUACUCUAAUAAAGAAGAUGGUACCACAUGCAUUAGAGGUGUCUAGAGGACAUAGCAUGAAUGUGAAGCAUUAGAUUGCAUUAGGGAUUAUGUGUGCAUUUUAUGAUAAAUGAUGUUUGACACGUACUUGGUAAAUGUUGAUUGUUAAUCCGCAUGUGAGGAGCAGAGUCCGUCAUGACUAUAAAAUGAACAACGCAGGGUCGGUCAUGACCAUAAUCUGAACAAUGUAUUUGUGAUGUUAGAUUACAUUAGGAACUUUAUGUAUAUCCCUAUUUGUAAUUGAGUUAUGUGAUAAUUGUUGAUGUUUUGGUAUUGUCCGAUACGACGUGAAACUAUAUGUUU